This 452-nucleotide ribosomal RNA is filed under the name uncultured bacterium. RNAcentral's name for it is "bacterial SSU rRNA". It matches the Rfam family "Bacterial small subunit ribosomal RNA", at positions 29 to 526 of the family's 1533-position model. The record is from RNAcentral.
AACGAACGCUGGCGGCAGGCCUAACACAUGCAAGUCGAGCGCAUCCUUCGGGGUGAGCGGCGGACGGGUUAGUAACGCGUGGGAACGUGCCCUUUUCUUCGGAAUAGCUUCGGGAAACUGAAGGUAAUACCGGAUACGCCCUUUGGGGGAAAGAUUUAUCGGAGAAGGAUCGGCCCGCGUCUGAUUAGGUAGUUGGUGGGGUAAUGGCCUACCAAGCCUACGAUCAGUAGCUGGUUUGAGAGGAUGAUCAGCAACACUGGGACUGAGACACGGCCCAGACUCCUACGGGAGGCAGCAGUGGGGAAUCUUAGACAAUGGGCGCAAGCCUGAUCUAGCCAUGCCGCGUGAGUGAUGAAGGCCUUAGGGUCGUAAAGCUCUUUCGCUGGGGAAGAUAAUGACGGUACCCAGUAAAGAAACCCCGGCUAACUCCGUGCCAGCCGCCGCAGUAAAAC